Non-coding RNA from Clarias gariepinus (North African catfish), 644 nucleotides. The record is from the annotation of a RefSeq genome assembly. Lineage: Eukaryota; Metazoa; Chordata; Actinopteri; Siluriformes; Clariidae.
CACACACACACACACACACACACAGACGUUUCCAUAGAGAGAGGUUCCACUUUGCAUUAGCAGCUCAUGCUUCAGCGCUCUGCGAGUGUUUAUAGCCCUGUGACUUUAACACUUCAUGACUGAGAGCUGCUGCUCAGCGACUUCACCCACAGCAACCAUGAGUUUGAUCAGCGUCUUCAUCUGCACACUGGCCCUCUGCGCUCGAGGAUCCAGAGGUCAGGUGACUGUGACUCAGAGUCCUGCAGUGAAAUCAGUUUCUCCAGGAGACACACUCACCAUCAGCUGUAAAACCAGUACUGAUGUUUAUGAUGAUGAUGCACUGGCCUGGUAUCAGCAAAAACCUGGAGAAGCUCCUAAACUCCUGAUCUAUGCUGCUGACACUAGAGAAUCAGGUAUUCCAUCACGUUUCAGUGGCAGUGGAUCUGGAUCUGAUUUCACUCUGACCAUCAGUGGAGUCCAGACUGAAGAUGUUGGAGAUUAUUACUGUCAGAGUUUCCAUGAGAUCAGUAGUAGCUACGUGUUCACACAGUGUUAGAGCGUCGUACAAAAACCUGUGUGAGUGUGACUGCUGCAGCUGGGACCUACUGCAGGUGCUGAGGGACACACACACACACACACACACACACACACACACACACUACAGU